RNAcentral lists this long non-coding RNA (690 nucleotides) under Nicotiana benthamiana. RNAcentral describes it as "long non-coding RNA (NBEN_LNC016446)". The record is from RNAcentral. Lineage: Eukaryota; Viridiplantae; Streptophyta; Magnoliopsida; Solanales; Solanaceae.
GAUCAUUUGCCAUGGGGGUUCCUCUCCUGCUUUCAAGGGUUCCACGUUGUCUCUAUUAUGACCAUAAUUGAUCUUAGCCCGGUCACUUAAGGACUCACUGAGGUGACCAUUCUUCAAUAGUGUUGCCACUUCUUCUAGAAGGUGUCAACAGUCCCCUAUCAGCUAGCCAUUCGUCCCAUGGUGUUCACACCAUAAGUUGGGAUCCUCUAGCUGGGAUCAAAACUCAUUGGCAUUGGGAAUUGUGCCUCUUUAUGUUUCCCAUUGCUGACACUAAUUCCAUUAUGCUGACGUUGAAGUUGUAUUCUAAAAACUUAGGUAAGAGAGAUCUCAUGAACCCCAAGUUUAUUUAUCAUAUAAUGGUCUAUUGUUUCGACCACAAUUGGUCCUUCUAUCAAUGGUGAACUUGUUUGUUGUCCGAAAGCCUCUGCCACAGCCUUCGAUCCCCUUGUAUGGAAAAAAUGGUGCCUCGAAGUUUGUCUACCCGUGUCGUAACAUCUUUUGAUUUUUCUCUGAUCUUCUCUCGUCCUUUGGUCGGCGAUAGAAAGUCAACCUGAUCAUUCUUGAUCCUUAUUUUUGACUCGUACCGGUUGUGUACAUUCGCCAAAUUCGAUGCUAGAAACUCAAGCAAGAUUUCCUUUAGUUUCGGGAAGCGUCUGAACUUCUCGAAUUCAAUCCUUUGUGAAUGCUUCG